This 314-nucleotide ribosomal RNA is filed under the name Staphylococcus aureus. Its description in RNAcentral is "bacterial SSU rRNA". It matches the Rfam family "Bacterial small subunit ribosomal RNA", at positions 473 to 786 of the family's 1533-position model. Lineage: Bacteria; Bacillati; Bacillota; Bacilli; Caryophanales; Staphylococcaceae. The record is from RNAcentral.
CGGUACCUAAUCAGAAAGCCACGGCUAACUACGUGCCAGCAGCCGCGGUAAUACGUAGGUGGCAAGCGUUAUCCGGAAUUAUUGGGCGUAAAGCGCGCGUAGGCGGUUUUUUAAGUCUGAUGUGAAAGCCCACGGCUCAACCGUGGAGGGUCAUUGGAAACUGGAAAACUUGAGUGCAGAAGAGGAAAGUGGAAUUCCAUGUGUAGCGGUGAAAUGCGCAGAGAUAUGGAGGAACACCAGUGGCGAAGGCGACUUUCUGGUCUGUAACUGACGCUGAUGUGCGAAAGCGUGGGGAUCAAACAGGAUUAGAUACC